Molecule: ribosomal RNA, 617 nt
Filed under: uncultured bacterium
Lineage: Bacteria
Description: bacterial SSU rRNA
Rfam family: Bacterial small subunit ribosomal RNA
Source: RNAcentral
UUGGUAGGGUAGCGGCCUACCAAGGCAACGAUCAGUAGCCGGCCUGAGAGGGUGGACGGCCACACUGGGACUGAGAACGGCCCAGACUCCUACGGGAGGCAGCAGUGGGGAAUAUUGCGCAAUGGGGGAAACCCUGACGCAGCGACGCCGCGUGAGCGAAGAAGGCCUUCGGGUUGUAAAGCUCUGUUGUAAGGGACGAAAGAUCAAGGGAAUAACUGCCCUUGAAGUGACGGUACCUUACCAGCAAGCCCCGGCUAACUACGUGCCAGCAGCCGCGGUAAGACGUAGGGGGCGAGCGUUGUCCGGAAUUACUGGGCGUAAAGAGCACGUAGGCGGAUGUAUAAGUCAGGUGUGAAAGACCGCAGCCUAACUGCGGGGUUGCACUUGAAACUGUAUAUCUUGAGGGCAGGAGAGGUUAGUAGAAUUCCUGGUGUAGCGGUGAAAUGCGUAGAAAUCAGGAGGAAUACCAGUGGCGAAGGCGACUGACUGGACUGACCCUGACGCUGAGGUGCGAAAGCGUGGGUAGCAAACAGGAUUAGAUACCCUGGUAGUCCACGCCGUAAACGAUGGAUACUAGGUGUGGGAGGUAUCGACCCCUUCCGUGCCGCAGCUAACGC